RNAcentral lists this ribosomal RNA (497 nucleotides) under uncultured bacterium. Its description in RNAcentral is "partial 16S ribosomal RNA". It matches the Rfam family "Bacterial small subunit ribosomal RNA", at positions 28 to 507 of the family's 1533-position model. The record is from RNAcentral.
GACGAACGCUGGCGGCGUGCCUAAUACAUGCAAGUUGAGCGAUGAAGAUUGGUGCUUGCACCAAUUUGAAGAGCAGCGAACGGGUGAGUAACGCGUGGGGAAUCUGCCUUUGAGCGGGGGACAACAUUUGGAAACGAAUGCUAAUACCGCAUAACAACUUUAAACAUAAGUUUUAAGUUUGAAAGAUGCAAUUGCAUCACUCAAAGAUGAUCCCGCGUUGUAUUAGCUAGUUGGUGAGGUAAAGGCUCACCAAGGCGAUGAUACAUAGCCGACCUGAGAGGGUGAUCGGCCACAUUGGGACUGAGACACGGCCCAAACUCCUACGGGAGGCCGCAGUAGGGAAUCUUCGGCAAUGGACGAAAGUCUGACCGAGCAACGCCGCGUGAGUGAAGAAGGUUUUCGGAUCGUAAAACUCUGUUGGUAGAGAAGAACGUUGGUGAGAGUGGAAAGCUCAUCAAGUGACGGUAACUACCCAGAAAGGGACGGCUAACUACGUG